ACCUGGCUGGCUCAGUCGGCAGAGCAUGCGACUCUUGAUCUCAGGGUUAUAAAUUCAAACACUAUGUUAGGUG
RNAcentral lists this transfer RNA (73 nucleotides) under Felis catus (domestic cat). It matches the Rfam family "tRNA". Rfam says of the family: Transfer RNA (tRNA) molecules are approximately 80 nucleotides in length. The record is from Rfam by way of RNAcentral. Lineage: Eukaryota; Metazoa; Chordata; Mammalia; Carnivora; Felidae.